CCAGACCCUUGGCUGUCACAUUUAAGGCCGUGGAUUGUUUUCUGACUUCUGGUUUCAAACAGCCUGGGAGCAGCAUGGAUGGCAUAUGGACUCACGAGUAAGGUUUUGUUUAAUGGCCACGAGCACCAUCUCUCCACGCCUUCUCCCGUGGCUGCUGCCAGGCAGCGUGUUCAAACAGCGGCAGCUGCAUAUCUGCCCAGGCAGUUCUGGUUCUUGCAUUUAUUCAAAUAAUUUGGAUGCAGAUUUUCUUUCUCUUUCAAGCACUGAAUAUGAUUCAAGUUCCAAAUAUCCGUUAUUAUUUCACCUGCCUUGAAAUGGGAAUUGUAAGCACUCUGAUAAGUGAUUUGAAAGACUGUCUAAUUUCCGUAACAACCUCUGUCAGCUGUUAACUUCCAAUUUUAUAACAUCUAAAACAUUCUGAAAUUCCUCUGUGCAUAUCCCUGAGUGAGCUGACAGCCACGUGGCCCCUGCAUCAGUUCUGUCAAGAAAGAAGGAAAGAAAGAAAGAAAGAAAGAAAGAAAGAAAGAAAGAAAGAAAGAAAGAAAGAAAGAAAGAAAAGGAACUAUUUUUCUCUUUCUCUGGCAGUGGAAGAAUACUGCUCUCAAAGCCCAGCAUGCAUGAAUAGAGUGUCUUUUUCCACAGAUUAGAAAUCACAAGGGAUUCCAUCACAAUGCAUUAAAGAUCUUUGUGUGUUUGUAUAAAAGAUGCAAAUAUUCCAGUUAAGAUGGAAGCUCCCUUUGUUCCUCUGCUGAGUCCCACCCACUCUCCUCCCUCCUUCCCUGCUGAGGCAGAGAAGAAGCCAAGCUGCAUUUGAUACUUGAAUACUUGGAUUCACAUCUUCUUGCUGCAUCACCUUGGGCAAAUUCUUUAAUCACCCUGAUCUUCAUUUAUCUAUUUGGGAUCCCGAUGAUUCACCUCCAGGGCCCUGGCCUUGACCAUGCUGCAGGAACAACAUUGAAAGGUAACACUGUAUUCCUAGUAUUUUAAUAUUUUGCUAAUUUCCUGAAGGGAAAGACCAUAUCUUGCUGUU
Suricata suricatta (meerkat) is the source of this 1030-nucleotide long non-coding RNA. RefSeq lists it as uncharacterized. The record is from RefSeq and is a predicted model, not a curated record. Lineage: Eukaryota; Metazoa; Chordata; Mammalia; Carnivora; Herpestidae. The transcript has 4 exons.